GACGAACGCUGGCGGCGUGCUUAACACAUGCAAGUCGAACGCUGAAGCCUGGUGCUUGCACCGGGUGGAUGAGUGGCGAACGGGUGAGUAAUACGUGAGUGACCUGCCUUUGACUCUGGGAUAAGCCUGGGAAACUGGGUCUAAUACCGGAUGCGACUACUGCCCGCAUGGGCUGGUGGUGGAAAGGGUUAUGUACUGGUCUUAGAUGGGCUCACGGCCUAUCAGCUGGUUGGUGGGGUAAUGGCCUACCAAGGCGACGACGGGUAGCCGGCCUGAGAGGGUGACCGGCCACACUGGGACUGAGACACGGCCCAGACUCCUACGGGAGGCAGCAGUGGGGAAUAUUGCACAAUGGGCGCAAGCCUGAUGCAGCGACGCCGCGUGAGGGAUGACGGCCUUCGGGUUGUAAACCUCUUUCAGCAGGGAAGAAGCGGAAGUGACGGUACCUGCAGAAGAAGCGCCGGCUAACUACGUGCCAGCAGCCGCGGUAAUACGUAGGGCGCAAGCGUUGUCCGGAAUUAUUGGGCGUAAAGAGCUCGUAGGCGGCUUGUCGCGUCUGCUGUGAAAGCCCGGGGCUUAACUCCGGGUGUGCAGUGGGUACGGGCAGGCUAGAGUGCAGUAGGGGUAACUGGAAUUCCUGGUGUAGCGGUGAAAUGCGCAGAUAUCAGGAGGAACACCGAUGGCGAAGGCAGGUUACUGGGCUGUUACUGACGCUGAGGAGCGAAAGCAUGGGGAGCGAACAGGAUUAGAUACCCUGGUAGUCCAUGC
This 768-nucleotide ribosomal RNA is filed under the name Rothia kristinae. RNAcentral's name for it is "bacterial SSU rRNA". It matches the Rfam family "Bacterial small subunit ribosomal RNA", at positions 28 to 800 of the family's 1533-position model. Lineage: Bacteria; Bacillati; Actinomycetota; Actinomycetes; Micrococcales; Micrococcaceae. The record is from RNAcentral.